This 3144-nucleotide ribosomal RNA is filed under the name Saccharum spontaneum (wild sugarcane). Its description in RNAcentral is "bacterial LSU rRNA". It matches the Rfam family "Bacterial large subunit ribosomal RNA". The record is from RNAcentral. Lineage: Eukaryota; Viridiplantae; Streptophyta; Magnoliopsida; Poales; Poaceae.
UCAAGUUUUAAGGGCAUACGGUGGAUGCCUGGAACCAGGAGCCGAAGAAGAAGGACGUAGGAGCUGCGAUAGCCUCGGGGAGUUGGACAACCGAACUGUGCAUCCGAGGAUUUCCGAUGGCGGAGGGAAACCCCGAUGGAGUCAUGUCCAGUGAACCCGCAUCUGAACACAUAGGGUGAGUGGAGGGAACGUGGGGAAGUGUGAAACAUCUCAGUACCACAGGAAGAGAAAGCAACCGCGAUUCCGGAGAGUGGCGGAGCGAAAGCGGAAGAGGCUAAACCGGUCAUGUGUGAUAGCUGCUAGCGUUGCAUGGUCGGGGUAGGGGACCUUGCCGUCGGGCUAGCACCCGUCAAGAGUAAGAAAGUAGCGUCAUAGCGAAAGGGCAUUGAAGGCGGCAAGAGGGUGGAACCCCCGUAGACGAAAUGGCGUGCACCUGGAGGGAUCCCAAGUAGCAAGGGGCCGAGAAAUCCGUGUGAAUCUGGGGGGACACACCCCCAAGCCGGACUACUGCCCUGGUGACGAUAGCGGACAGUACCGUGAGGGACAUGGUGAAAAGUAACCGGGAGGCGGAGUUGAAAUAGUGAAAUAGUACCUGAACAGUGUGCAUACAAUCCGGCGUCGGAGCCAUCUUGUUGGGGUGACGGCGUGCCGUUUGAAGAAUGAGCCUGCGAUUUAGUGGUACUUGGCGGGUUAACCCCGUGUGGAAAAGCCGUAGCGAAAGCGAGUCCGACGAAGGGCGCUGAGUCGCGUGCUCUAGACCCGAAGCGAAAGUGAUUACCCAGGCAGGUGAAAGCGGGUAAGACCGAGUGGAGGACCGAACCCACCAGGGUUUUGAAAACCGGGGGGCGACCUGUGGUAGGGGGAAAGGCAAUCAAACUUCGUGAUAGGGUUCUCCCCGAAAAUGCAUUUAGGGCAGCGUCAAGUGUUUCUUGCCGGAGGUUAGAGCUACUGGAUGGCGAUGGGACCACAAGGUACUGACGUCAGGCCAAACUCCGAAUGCCGGUUAAGUGAGAGCGUGGCAGUGAGACUGCGGGGAUAAGCUUCGUAGGCGAGAGGGAAACAGACCAGACAAACCAGCUAAGGACCCCUAAGCGGUCUAAGGGGAAAGGAUUGUGGAGUUGCACAGACAACCAGGAGGGUUGGCUUAGAAGCAGCCACCCUUGAAAGAGUGCGGAGUAAUAGCUCAGGUCAAGUGAUUCCGAGGCCGACAAUUAGCGGGCUCAAGCCACCGCCGAAGCUGUGGCAUUCACACAUCGAUAAGCCUUGUGGUUCAGUGUGUGGAGGGUAGGGGAGCGUCGUGUGGCGGGUGGAAGCGGCGGAGUGCUCCAGUCGUGGACGCUACACGAGUGAGAAUGGCAGGCCAUGAGUAGCGAAAGAGGGUGAGACUCCAGUGCCGAAUGACCAAGGGUUCCAGGGCCAGGCUAUCGCCCUGGGUAAGUCGGACUAAGGGCGAGGCCCGACAGGGCGUAGUCGAUGGCACAACGGGUUUUGAUAUCCCGUACCGGCGAAAGAAACGCCAAUACCGAGGCCGGGGAUGCUAAGUGCCCAAGCCGGUGACGUUUCGGAUGGAGCUGGUGGAGCGCAACCAGAUCCCGGGAUAGUUGUAAGCGCAAUUACCAGGGGUUUGAAGCAGGAAGGUAGCCACCGCGUGGCGAUGGUAGGUCCACGUCCAAGGGUGUAGGGCGAGGGUAGGCAAAGCGCACCUCUCACUUCAAAUGUGGAGUCUGAGACCUGAUGGUGACCGCGUAUGCGGGAAGCAGGGGUGAUCAUAUGCUGCCUAGAAAAGCAUCGGCGUGAGCGUUCAAGCCGCCCUACCCAAAAACCGACUCAGGUGGUCAGUUAGAGGACAUACCAAGGCGACGAGGAAUCGUGGUUAAGGAAAACUCGCAAAAUGCCCCGAACUUCGGGAGAGGGGGGCCCUAGCGUGAAACCCGCGGGUUAGGCGCGACGGCCGCACGAAGAGACCAGGGAAGAAGCGAAUGCUUUACUAAAAACACAGGUCCGUGCGAAAGUCGCAAGACGAUUAUACGGACUGACGCAUGCCCGGUGCUUGGUGGGGGGAACGUUAAGGGGACGGCGUCGCUCUUCGGAGCGAAGCUCAGAACUUAAGCGCAGUAAAACGGCCUGUGGUAAAUAAACCAUCCUAAGGUAGCGAAAUUCUUGUCGGGGAAGUUCCGACCUGCACGAAUGGCGUAGUCCGUAACGGACUUCAGCCGCUGUCUCAACGCGAACCGGGAAAUUGCCACUACGAGUAAAGAUGCUCGUUACCGCGCAGGCGGACGGAAAGACCCCGGGACCUUACUAUAGCUGGUAGUGGUGGUUCGGUACGCUCUUGGUAGGGAAGGUGGGGAGACUGUAGUCGGCACGCCAGUUGUCGGUGGAUGGUCAUAGUUGAUGAAAUACCACUCUGGGCGUUCUGGACAGCUAAACUUCGGUCCGUGACCGGAUCAGGAACAGUGCAUGGUGGGUAGUUUAAAUGGCGGUUGCCGCCUAAAGAGUAACGGAGGCGCUCAAGUUCCCCUCAUCCUGGUUGGCAAUCAGGUGCGAGUGUUAAGUGCCAAAAGGGAGCUUGACUGCGAGACUUGACAGGUAGAGAGGGACGAAAGUCGGAACUAGUGAGUCGGCCGUGGUUUGGUGGAAACGCGGUGUUUUUUCGCUCAAACGGAAUUAAAAGGUACCCGGGGAUAAACGGUGAUCUUGCCCAAGAGUCUCCAUAGGCGACGGCAUGGUUUGGCAACUCGAUGUCGGCUCGUCGCAUCUGGGGCGGGAAGUAGGUCCCAAGUUGGCGGUUCGACAUUAAAGCGGUACGCGAGCUGGGUUUAGAACGUCGUUGAGACAGUUCGGUCCCUAUCCGCUGCGCGCGUUGGAGACCGUGAGAAGGGCAUUUGUCCCUAGUACGAGAGACCGGGGAGGACGAACACUCUGGAUGUGCCAGGUUGUUCCGCCAGGAGCACAGGAUGGUUGGGGGUACGUUCGGGAGGGAUAACCGCUGAAAGCAUUAAGCGGGGAAAAGCUGCUUCAAGAGAGAGUCUCCAUGGACUUCGAGUCGAGAGGCGCCCCGCAGACUACUGGUUGAUAGGCGGAGGUGGACGACAGUAAUGGUUGCAGCCUGACCGGUACUAAUAAGCGAUUAUUGCUACACCC